AGAAAGAGCACGAGGCUUGGCAGGAGAGAAAGAACCGUUGGUUACGCUUGAGUUGGUGGUUUCCUGGGUGCCUCCUUGUUGCCAGAAACAUCUCCAGAGUGGAACUCUUGAAUAUGACAUCAGGAGCUGUGGCCUAUGUGGACGCUUGGCUCAAACUUGAUUUGGAAUGUAGAUCAAAUCUUUAAAGAUGCAAGAGCCAUCUCCAUCUGGGAAGAGGGGGUCAUUGAUGCAUGCCUGAGCAGGGCAAGGGCUGACUAACACCGUUGUUGGUCUGGAGGCUUGCUAUUCAAAGUUAGCCCCUUCCAGGGAUGAUUGACAUAUUCUCCUCAAGAAUAAUUCAGGAGCAACCAGGGAGGGGAGACUUGGUUUGGCUUCAUAUGUCUCUUCCACUGCCUCCCAGCCUUAACUUUCCAGUCUCUGGUCCUUAGUCUCCACAAAAUAAAGAUUUUGCUUUCAUCCUUAA
Long non-coding RNA from Mus musculus (house mouse), 463 nucleotides. RefSeq annotates it as predicted gene, 30944. NCBI's taxonomy places the organism in Eukaryota, Metazoa, Chordata, Mammalia, Rodentia, Muridae. The record is from RefSeq and is a predicted model, not a curated record. The transcript is spliced from 2 exons.